RNAcentral lists this ribosomal RNA (465 nucleotides) under Vreelandella stevensii. RNAcentral describes it as "partial 16S ribosomal RNA". It matches the Rfam family "Bacterial small subunit ribosomal RNA", at positions 338 to 795 of the family's 1533-position model. The record is from RNAcentral. Lineage: Bacteria; Pseudomonadati; Pseudomonadota; Gammaproteobacteria; Oceanospirillales; Halomonadaceae.
CCUACGGGGUGCAGCAGUGGGGAAUAUUGGACAAUGGGCGAAAGCCUGAUCCAGCCAUGCCGCGUGUGUGAAGAAGGCCUUCGGGUUGUAAAGCACUUUCAGUGGGGAAGAAAGCCUUGGGGCUAAUACCCUCGAGGAAGGACAUCACCCACAGAAGAAGCACCGGCUAACUCCGUGCCAGCAGCCGCGGUAAUACGGAGGGUGCGAGCGUUAAUCGGAAUUACUGGGCGUAAAGCGCGCGUAGGCGGUCUGAUAAGCCGGUUGUGAAAGCCCCGGGCUCAACCUGGGAACGGCAUCCGGAACUGUCAGGCUAGAGUGCAGGAGAGGAAGGUAGAAUUCCCGGUGUAGCGGUGAAAUGCGUAGAGAUCGGGAGGAAUACCAGUGGCGAAGGCGGCCUUCUGGACUGACACUGACGCUGAGGUGCGAAAGCGUGGGUAGCAAAUAGGAUUAGAUACCCGGGUAGUC